This 438-nucleotide ribosomal RNA is filed under the name uncultured Bacillota bacterium. Its description in RNAcentral is "bacterial SSU rRNA". It matches the Rfam family "Bacterial small subunit ribosomal RNA", at positions 917 to 1359 of the family's 1533-position model. The record is from RNAcentral. Lineage: Bacteria; Bacillati; Bacillota.
GGGCCCGCACAAGCAGUGGAGUAUGUGGUUUAAUUCGAAGCAACGCGAAGAACCUUACCAGGGCUUGACAUGCAGUGGAAUGCGGCAGAGAUGUCGCAGCCUUCGGGCCGCUGCACAGGUGGUGCAUGGUUGUCGUCAGCUCGUGUCGUGAGAUGUUGGGUUAAGUCCCGCAACGAGCGCAACCCUUGUCGUUAGUUGCCAGCAUUAAGUUGGGCACUCUAGCGAGACUGCCGGUGACAAAUCGGAGGAAGGUGGGGACGACGUCAAAUCAUCAUGCCCCUUAUGUCCUGGGCUACACACGUACUACAAUGGCUAUAACAACGGGGAGCUAAGGAGCAAUCCGGAGCAAAUCCUACAAAAAUAGUCCCAGUUCAGAUUGUGGGCUGCAACCCGCCCACAUGAAGUCGGAAUUGCUAGUAAUGGCAGGUCAGCAUACUG